RNAcentral lists this ribosomal RNA (681 nucleotides) under uncultured Achromobacter sp. RNAcentral describes it as "bacterial SSU rRNA". It matches the Rfam family "Bacterial small subunit ribosomal RNA", at positions 1 to 683 of the family's 1533-position model. Lineage: Bacteria; Pseudomonadati; Pseudomonadota; Betaproteobacteria; Burkholderiales; Alcaligenaceae. The record is from RNAcentral.
UAGAGUUUGAUCCUGGCUCAGAUUGAACGCUAGCGGGAUGCCUUACACAUGCAAGUCGAACGGCAGCACGGACUUCGGUCUGGUGGCGAGUGGCGAACGGGUGAGUAAUGUAUCGGAACGUGCCCAGUAGCGGGGGAUAACUACGCGAAAGCGUAGCUAAUACCGCAUACGCCCUACGGGGGAAAGCAGGGGAUCGCAAGACCUUGCACUAUUGGAGCGGCCGAUAUCGGAUUAGCUAGUUGGUGGGGUAACGGCUCACCAAGGCGACGAUCCGUAGCUGGUUUGAGAGGACGACCAGCCACACUGGGACUGAGACACGGCCCAGACUCCUACGGGAGGCAGCAGUGGGGAAUUUUGGACAAUGGGGGAAACCCUGAUCCAGCCAUCCCGCGUGUGCGAUGAAGGCCUUCGGGUUGUAAAGCACUUUUGGCAGGAAAGAAACGUCGUGGGUUAAUACCCCGCGAAACUGACGGUACCUGCAGAAUAAGCACCGGCUAACUACGUGCCAGCAGCCGCGGUAAUACGUAGGGUGCAAGCGUUAAUCGGAAUUACUGGGCGUAAAGCGUGCGCAGGCGGUUCGGAAAGAAAGAUGUGAAAUCCCAGAGCUUAACUUUGGAACUGCAUUUUUAACUACCGGGCUAGAGUGUGUCAGAGGGANNNNGAAUUCCGCGUGUAGCAGUG